ACUUACGAAAAGAAUAUUAGUUCCACCUAAAGUUGCUUACACACUUCCCAAUGCUUAACUUUAGAGUAACUCAAAUAGGGUACAGCCUAUUUGAAACAGGACACAACCUAAACUGGAGGGUAAUUUAAUGCUUUUACUCCCAAGCAAGUAGGCCUAAAAGCAGCCAUCUUUUAAAAUGCGUCAAAGCUUAGCUAAGCCAGCACCCAUCUCAUAAAUAAUACACAACCCCCUACCAAUAGUAAGUAGUUCUAUAAACUAUAGAAAAUAUUAUGCUAAAACUAGUAACAAGAAGGAACAACCCUUCUCUUUUAUACAAACAUAAACCAGCUUUGGAUAAACCACUGGUAAUUAACAGCCCUAAAUAAUAAUAGUAACAUCUCCAGAAACCCCUAUUAAUAUAUUCUGUUAACCUAACACAAGAGUAUAACAAGAAAGAUUAAAAGAGGAGGAAGGAACUCGGCAAACUAACAAUCCCGCCUGUUUACCAAAAACAUCGCCUCCUGGCCACAUAGGAGGUCCAGCCUGCCCAGUGAGUAAUUUAACGGCCGCGGUAUACUGACCGUGCAAAGGUAGCGCAAUCACUUGUUCCUUAAAUAGGGACCCGUAUGAAUGGCAUCACGAGGAUUUAACUGUCUCCCCCCUCUAAUCUGUGAAACUAAUCUCCCUGUGAAAAAGCAGGGAUAAUUACAUAAGACGAGAAGACCCUAUGGAACUUUAAACAAAUAAUACUUGCUUUUUCCCCUCUCACUUUUCCGAAGACAAACACCUAUAAGCAUACUAAUUAGAAGUUUUCGGUUGGGGUGACCGCGGAGAAGAACAUAUCCUCCGCGAUGGAAAGGCUGAACCUAUUAAAUAUAAGCCACAGCUUUAAAAAUCAGAA
RNAcentral lists this ribosomal RNA (880 nucleotides) under Craugastor longirostris (long-snouted whistling frog). Its description in RNAcentral is "partial large subunit ribosomal RNA". It matches the Rfam family "Bacterial large subunit ribosomal RNA", at positions 853 to 2362 of the family's 2925-position model. Lineage: Eukaryota; Metazoa; Chordata; Amphibia; Anura; Craugastoridae. The record is from RNAcentral.